CAUACGAUCUACGGAUGAAAGCAGGGGAUCGCAAGACCUUGCGCGAAUGGAGCGGCCGAUGGCAGAUUAGGUAGUUGGUGAGGUAAAGGCUCACCAAGCCUUCGAUCUGUAGCUGGUCUGAGAGGACGACCAGCCACACUGGGACUGAGACACGGCCCAGACUCCUACGGGAGGCAGCAGUGGGGAAUUUUGGACAAUGGGCGCAAGCCUGAUCCAGCCAUGCCGCGUGCAGGAUGAAGGCCUUCGGGUUGUAAACUGCUUUUGUACGGAACGAAACGGCCUUUUCUAAUAAAGAGGGCUAAUGACGGUACCGUAAGAAUAAGCACCGGCUAACUACGUGCCAGCAGCCGCGGUAAUACGUAGGGUGCAAGCGUUAAUCGGAAUUACUGGGCGUAAAGCGUGCGCAGGCGGUAAUGUAAGACAGUUGUGAAAUCCCCGGGCUCAACCUGGGAACUGCAUCUGUGACUGCAUUGCUGGAGUACGGCAGAGGGGGAUGGAAUUCCGCGUGUAGCAGUGAAAUGCGUAGAUAUGCGGAGGAACACCGAUGGCGAAGGCAAUNCCCCUGGGNCCUGUACUGACGCUCAUGCACGAAAGCGUGGGGAGCAA
Molecule: ribosomal RNA, 606 nt
Filed under: uncultured Variovorax sp.
Lineage: Bacteria; Pseudomonadati; Pseudomonadota; Betaproteobacteria; Burkholderiales; Comamonadaceae
Description: bacterial SSU rRNA
Rfam family: Bacterial small subunit ribosomal RNA
Source: RNAcentral